UCCUUGUAGAUAAAGUAAGAUGCAGUGAGGUGGGGUGGAGAGGGUAGAAACAAUAGGGUCAGGAACCAAGACCAGUGACGCAAAAGAAGCUAGAGAGGAAGUAGGACUAAGCAGAGCCAAAGGGAGAGCAAUACAAAAGCAGCCUUGGAUCGAGCCGGAGUGGCAAGCGUUAAAGGGAGGCGGGGAGUGACGCGGUUUGCGUCUAGAGCGGCUCCUUGGAGUCCACAGCAUCCACCGCCGGAGCCUCGCCUUCCUUUCUCCGUCUGCAGACAUAUCGAGACACAAAAAGAGGCAACCCCUGGAUCAGUGCGAGAGACCUCAUCCCAUCAUGACCGAGACCACAAAGACCCACGUUAUCCUGCUGGCCUGCGGCAGCUUCAAUCCCAUCACUAAAGGGCACAUUCAGAUGUUCGAGAGAGCCAGGGAUUAUCUGCACAAGACUGGAAGAUUUAUUGUGAUUGGCGGGAUUGUCUCUCCGGUCCAUGACUCCUACGGAAAACAGGGCCUUGUGUCAAGUCGGCACCGUCUCAUCAUGUGUCAGCUGGCUGUCCAGAAUUCCGACUGGAUCAGGGUGGACCCAUGGGAGUGCUAUCAGGACACCUGGCAGACAACCUGCAGUGUGUUGGAGCACCAUCGAGACCUGAUGAAGAGGGUGACCGGCUGCAUCCUCUCCAACGUCAACACACCUUCCAUGACACCUGUGAUCGGACAGCCACAGCAUGAGAACACCCAGCCCAUUUACCAGAACAGCAAUGUGCCCACCAAGCCCACUGCAGCCAAGAUCUUGGGAAAGGUGGGAGAAAGCCUCAGCCGGAUCUGCUGCGUCCGCCCACCAGUGGAGCGCUUCACUUUUGUAGAUGAGAACGCCAACCUGGGCACAGUGAUGCGGUAUGAGGAGAUCGAGCUGCGCAUCUUGCUGCUGUGUGGUAGUGACCUGCUGGAGUCUUUCUGCAUCCCAGGACUCUGGAAUGAGGCAGAUAUGGAAGUGAUUGUUGGGGACUUUGGGAUCGUCGUGGUACCCAGGGAUGCAGCGGACACAGACCGGAUCAUGAAUCACUCCUCCAUACUCCGCAAGUACAAAAACAACAUCAUGGUUGUGAAGGAUGAUAUCAACCAUCCCAUGUCUGUAGUCAGCUCCACCAAGAGCAGGCUGGCCCUGCAGCAUGGGGACGGCCAUGUUGUGGAUUACCUGUCCCAGCCAGUCAUCGAUUACAUCCUCAAGAGUCAGCUGUACAUCAACGCCUCGGGCUAGCGGAUACCCAGCUCUCUGCUCUAUUCUCCCCGUGUCCUCUGCCAACACACUGUCAGACCCCGGUUUCUCUCCUGCCUCUCUGUUUCUCUGUCUUCAUCUUGACUGUUCUCCCCACUGGCUGACCUAACCCCCACAGUGUGGAGGGCCUGCGAAGAACCGUGGCGCACCCCAUUCCACAGUCAUCUUUGGACAAACUUUCCUCUAGUCUCCGGGUUGGGGGUGGGUAAGGGAACAGGGUGGGAGUUGGGGAAAGUGCAGCCCUUGGAGAUGUACUGGUGUCCGUAUCCCAGCAUGCUCUGGGGACAUGGCUCAGGCCCUUGCCUUCCCAGCAUGCCCUUUACCACAAAGGGCUAUUUUUUUUUCUUUUUCUUUGUCCACUUCUUGUAGAACUUGGAUGAAAUCAGUGUGUGUGUGAGUGUGUUUGUUUGUUUGUAGUCUUGAUGCUCUCCUGUGGUUUACUUCCCUUCUGAUAGGACACUAUAGCCAGUCUCAGCACUCGUAAGUGCGGAGGGCCACAUCCAGGAAAGAAGGCAGAGCCUCUCUGCUUUUCCAAUACACACACACACACACACACACACACACACACACACACACACACACAGCACACCAGCAGCAGCAUCCCCAGACCCCUUUGGUCAAGAGUAAGACUUUCAGAUGAUCGUGGUCUUGAUGCUGUGUGUCUGACCAGUAGCAUUGAGUGGGUUCUCUGCCAACCAGGCAUUUGCAGAGAGCAAAAACCCUCGGAGGUCAUGCUAAGGCAUGUUCCUGUUGGUGAGAGGAACCACACAAGGCAAGACUAAGUCCUGAUAAUCUAUUCUUUUUUUUUUUUUUUUGAAAACAUGCUAAGAACCCACUUGACUGAAAAGAUGCUUUGCUAAUUGGCAUUAUUUAUUGCCCAUUUGGCUCGGAGCUAUAAGUCCAGGAUGAUCUGGGAGAAUGCAGUUUGUUACCCUGAGAAUUCAUGAUCCCCACACACUCCACCUGAGCUUGCCAGGCUGUGCCCAAAGCCCUUUCCUUCUUGCAAAGCAAUCAGCCUUGUUUCUGAGCUGGCCCUACCUGUCUCCUGCAGAGCCCAGCAGUCAAUGCCCUGGGAGGUCUCCCUGACACACAAGAGCAGUCUCUCCUGUUUCUCCCCAUUUCUCCUCGAUGUCCUCCCCUUCUCUCUACCUCUGAAGACAGUUCAAGACUGGACAAGAUACUCGUGUCCUGCCUGGAGAGCUCGUGGGGAAUGAUUUUUGUGUUUUGUGUUUGCCUUUCAGCCUCUGGCUCUUGGGUUUCUGGUUGUUCAUGGGGAACAGCUCCUGAGUGUCAGGCUACAUUUUAAUUUCUAACAUCAACAUGGCCCAGGUGGGACUGGAUCAGGGGCGAUGCUUUUUGCCUUGGCUUUCCCUCCCACCUUCUCCGCUGACUUCAGGAGGAAGAAGCUGGGUCAACAGAAGCGCAUAGGCCAUCUCCAGAGCUGUGGCUUUUCUUUAGACUGUAGAAGUGACCUCCAGAGGGAGGAGAUUAUUUCUAUAAUCGAGAAGUCCAGUGUUUGACUAAAAGUCAUGGAAAAAUAGAGAAAACUUGCAUGACCCAUCUGCUCCCGGGUUCUUAUUUGAAAACAAGGGAGCAGAGACCCAGGGAGUCAGUGUCUUGUCCAGGAUCACUCAGUGCAUCCUGGGAAGUAUGAUGAGAAGAUGCUGCUUCCCUAGACAAAAGAAAACCAGGAGCCUGCGGGGAGACAUGGGUGACAUGGGCGACAUGGGGUUUUGAAGGCUCUAGAGCUGACAUGGCUCCACAAGAGCAGACCCCAGCAAGGCUACUUCCAUUUUGUUCCUUUGGUUCACUGUGUUUCUGUUCUGAACUCUUGUUGAGCUUCAUUCAGUCCAUAGCCUGGGAUAAGGAACCAGGUUAGCCCAGCAGCCUCAGGGGGCAACAGGCAGCUCAGAACAGGGAAGGAAGGAGAGGUGAGCUAAGAAAAGAAUCACACAGAAGAAGUGCAUUUCUGGGAAGCAGGUGGGCAGAUUGUAUCUUGUUAAGGCGUGUUAAAAAUGGUUUCCCCUUAACAGAGGUGAGUCCCCAUCCGGGUGGGAUUGUCCAUUCACUUCUCUGUCUCUUUCUCCCGUUGUUGGAUCAAGGGUAGGGGACCCCCCCCCGUACCCCCCAACCCUGCCCCUAAGGGGAGCACAAUGUGACUGUGACCUGCCGUGGCCAACACCAAAAAGACAGUUUAUAAGUGGUGCCUCAGGUGUCAUCAGGGUGACUUGGGUCUGUCUUUGGGGACCCAUUGUGAGAGCUAGCCUAUUACUGGCAUGGCACAGAGAUGGUAAUAAAGACACAAACUGCAGUGAUCCCAUCAUUUACUGCUGCCUGCCAUUUUUAAUGUCCCCGCCAUUUUUUUUAAAGCAGCUGAUAGAACAGAGAGGACAAACUUUAAUAACCCUCUCCUUAAGGAAUGAGGCUGGGCCUCCCUGGAUUAAUUGUCUGAGCCACACACUCCCCAUCCCAGGUAGCCUCUGGGCCCCUGGCUUUCACUUUCCUUGAAUGUACAUUGGACCAGCAAGGGAAGUCUCUUACUGAAGUGCCUGAAUUCACAGCUGAAGUCUUAGAGACACUGGCCUUCCUGUUUUGGCUUGGCUACAAGUUCUAGUCUCCAGUUUCAGGAUCUCUAAAAGGAUUCAUGAACACUCUAUUCAAAUAAGUGGGAAGUAAAACUUGAUAAUCAAACUGUAUCAAAAGCCAGAGGAUUUUAGGGAGCCCCCACCCUCACCCUCAUCCCUACCCCCGAUGUUCUCAUACAUGCUUGUAGGGGACUGAGAGAAGCAUGUCCAUGUAUUUGUGUUCCUAUUUUUAAAAGUAACGCAACACCAGGUGUGGUGGCACAUACCUGUGAUCCCAGCACUGAGAGGUGGAGGCAGGAGGACCAGGGGUUCAAGCCCAGCCUCUGGGCACAGAAGACCUUGUCUCAAAACAAAAGCAGCAAUGUAAAACCAGGAUGGGACAGUCUCAGGACCUCUCCUCGUGUUACAGCAGGAGGGCUACAAAGAGUGGAGGUGGGAAGACUUUAUAGCGCAUGUAGGUAGGACACCUUGGAGAUAUCCUAUGGUAAUGAGGAUGGGUGUACUCUGCCACGCUGAUCCAACCUGUACUGUCCUGUGAGCUGACUGGUGAAUUCCACUCUUGAUGUGGUUUCUGUGUAGUGUGCAUUUGGAAGUGUCCUAGUAGCCUGUUCUAGUUAGUUAGACUGCAGCCCUUUCCCAUCACCUUCAGUGGAGUCCCAGGGCACACAGCUCAUCUCGAUCCUUGUGGGUUGGAAUGGGGAGGAGGAAGCUUUUUUUUUUUUAAUUUUUUAAAAAAUCAUAUCUGCUAAUUUAAGAGUGAGAUUUGCUUUAUGGAAGUCAACUCAAUAAAAACUGCAUUCGAGUUGCAAAUACCAUUUCACAGUGAAAUAUUUUUGAGUAGAGUUCUGUUGCUAGGAUAGUCGUGGGCAAGAGUUUUAUCAGCAAAAUGUUUCAAUUAUGUUAAUAAAUCAGACAAUGCUACUAGA
This is an RNA transcript of Mus musculus (house mouse), 4781 nucleotides long. It is a transcript of the gene named nicotinamide nucleotide adenylyltransferase 2, with no coding region annotated. Lineage: Eukaryota; Metazoa; Chordata; Mammalia; Rodentia; Muridae. The record is from RefSeq and is marked validated. The transcript is spliced from 12 exons.